RNAcentral lists this ribosomal RNA (446 nucleotides) under uncultured bacterium. RNAcentral describes it as "partial 16S ribosomal RNA". It matches the Rfam family "Bacterial small subunit ribosomal RNA", at positions 338 to 795 of the family's 1533-position model. The record is from RNAcentral.
CCUACGGGGGGCAGCAGUCGAGAAUCAUUCACAAUGGGGGAAACCCUGAUGGUGCGACGCCGCGUGGGGGAAUGAAGGUCUUCGGAUUGUAAACCCCUGUCAUGUGGGAGCAAAUUAAAAAGAUAGUACCACAAGAGGAAGAGACGGCUAACUCUGUGCCAGCAGCCGCGGUAAUACAGAGGUCUCAAGCGUUGUUCGGAAUCACUGGGCGUAAGGCGUGCGGAGGCUGUUUCGUAAGUCGUGUGUGAAAGGCGCGGGCUCAACCCGCGGACGGCACAUGACACUGCGAGACUAGAGUAAUGGAGGGGGAAGCGGAAUUCUCGGUGUAGCAGUGAAAUGCGUAGAUAUCGAGAGGAACACUAGUGGCGAAGGCGGGUUCCUGGACAUUAACUGACGCUGAGGCACGAAGGCCAGGGGAGCGAAAGGGAUUAGAUACCCUAGUAGUC